Molecule: long non-coding RNA, 737 nt
Organism: Oncorhynchus keta (chum salmon)
Lineage: Eukaryota; Metazoa; Chordata; Actinopteri; Salmoniformes; Salmonidae
Exons: 6
Source: RefSeq, a predicted model, not a curated record
GCGGAGUCAAACGCGUUUAAUCCGAACCCCUCCUUUCGGGUGACCUAAAUAGUUUGGUUCACGUCGAAGGUAUCAACGUCAACGAAAGCGAGUCUUAAUCGAAUUUAAUCGAGUUACAUGGAUAAACACAUUGGACAUUAGAAACAUUGCUCGAAUCUUGUCCCCUGGACAUUGGAGGACUUUUGGUGUGGAUGAUGUUCAGGACCUACCAAUGCAAAGUUUCUCAAACAAAUGUGGGGUGUUUGUUUUGAUGGUCUGAAGAAGUGAGGUUGAAAGAUUGAAAAAGGAGGCGAAAACAAAACACAGGAUGAUGUAUGACUCUCCCCCAAGAAGUCACAGCAUGUCACAUCAGCCUCCAGCUCUGCAGGAUCAGGAAGCAGCAAGGUGGUGCGAAUGGCAAACAUUUAAAGGCACCAUUUCCCUCCCUAGUGUAAUUGGGAUGGAGGGGGAAGACCGUAUUACAACCCUUAAAGAACUACGGUUGUAUGAUGGCCUGGAUGAGGAGGAAAAUAUUAUUCUCAAGAAACCAUUCAUGUUCUCAUUCCAGUUACAGAGAGAUUAUUAGAUGUUCUAUGUGGAGGCAGUUGACAACAAAAAAAAUGACUGUCUUUGCCUCUUUUGAGGAGCAGGAGUGAAGCAAUUUUUGAGGAGUGGUCAAACCUUGUUUUUGUCUGCUGUGUUAUUUGUUUCAUUUGUUAAUUGUGUUAUGUUGUUUAGUAAAGAUGACUUAGAAGUCA